RNAcentral lists this ribosomal RNA (253 nucleotides) under uncultured Eubacteriales bacterium. RNAcentral's name for it is "uncultured Clostridiales bacterium partial 16S ribosomal RNA". It matches the Rfam family "Bacterial small subunit ribosomal RNA", at positions 524 to 776 of the family's 1533-position model. The record is from RNAcentral. Lineage: Bacteria; Bacillati; Bacillota; Clostridia; Eubacteriales.
UACGUAGGGGGCAAGCGUUAUCCGGAUUUACUGGGUGUAAAGGGAGCGUAGACGGUGAGACAAGUCUGAAGUGAAAGCCCGGGGCUCAACCCCGGGACUGCUUUGGAAACUGCCUGACUGGAGUGCUGGAGAGGCAGGCGGAAUUCCUAGUGUAGCGGUGAAAUGCGUAGAUAUUAGGAGGAACACCAGUGGCGAAGGCGGCCUGCUGGGCUUUUACUGACGCUGAGGCUCGAAAGCGUGGGUAGCAAACAGG